GCGACGGGGGGACCCCGAGUGCCGUGGCAACGCCACGGCUUUUCCGGAGUGUAAAAAGCUCCGGGAAUAAGGGCUGGGCAAGGCCGGUGGCAGCCGCCGCGGUAAUACCGGCGGCCCGAGUGGUGGCCGCUAUUAUUGGGCCUAAAGCGUCCGUAGCCGGGCCCGUAAGUCCCUGGCGAAAUCCCACGGCUCAACCGUGGGGCUUGCUGGGGAUACUGCGGGUCUUGGGACCGGGAGAGGCGGGGGGUACCCCUGGGGUAGGGGUGAAAUCCUAUAAUCCCAGGGGGACCGCCAGUGGCGAAGGCGCCCCGCUGGAACGGGUCCGACGGUGAGGGACGAAGGCCAGGGGAGCAAACCGGAUUAGAUACCCGGGUAGUCCUGGCUGUAAAGGAUGCGGGCUAGGUGUCGGGUGAGCCUCGAGCUCGCCCGGUGCCGUAGGGAAGCCGUUAAGCCCGCCGCCUGGGGAGUACGGCCGCAAGGCUGAAACUAAA
RNAcentral lists this ribosomal RNA (491 nucleotides) under uncultured archaeon. RNAcentral describes it as "bacterial SSU rRNA". It matches the Rfam family "Archaeal small subunit ribosomal RNA", at positions 367 to 859 of the family's 1478-position model. The record is from RNAcentral.